GACGAACCGUGCGAACGUUAUUCGGAAUCACUGGGCUUAAAGGGCGCGUAGGCGGGUCAUCAAGUCCGGGGUGAAAUCCCACGGCCCAACCGUGGAAGUGCCUCUGAUACUGCCGGCCUCGAGGGGAUAGGGGCGUGCGGAACUCAGGGUGGAGCGGUGAAAUGCGUAGAUAUCCUGAGGAACACCGGUGGCGAAGGCAGCCCCCUGGGUCAAGAUUGACGCUCAUGCACGAAAGCGUGGGGAGCAAACAGG
This 252-nucleotide ribosomal RNA is filed under the name uncultured bacterium. Its description in RNAcentral is "partial 16S ribosomal RNA". It matches the Rfam family "Bacterial small subunit ribosomal RNA", at positions 524 to 776 of the family's 1533-position model. The record is from RNAcentral.